RNAcentral lists this microRNA precursor (98 nucleotides) under Pteropus alecto (black flying fox). Its description in RNAcentral is "mir-544 microRNA precursor family". It matches the Rfam family "mir-544 microRNA precursor family". The record is from Rfam by way of RNAcentral. Lineage: Eukaryota; Metazoa; Chordata; Mammalia; Chiroptera; Pteropodidae. RNAcentral also lists the same sequence under 1 other name.
AUCACCUGGGGAUCUUGUUAAAAUGUAAAUUCUGAUCUGGUAGAUAAGGGAUGGACCCUAAGACUCUGCAUUUCUAACGAGCUGCCAGGUGAUGCUGA